Molecule: long non-coding RNA, 475 nt
Organism: Corythoichthys intestinalis (scribbled pipefish)
Lineage: Eukaryota; Metazoa; Chordata; Actinopteri; Syngnathiformes; Syngnathidae
Exons: 4
Source: RefSeq, a predicted model, not a curated record
CUGUUGUGUAUGAGGACGAAGGAUUCAGCUGAUUUUGCGGAUUAAUACUUUAAUUUUUUGCAUCACGCCAGCCAAACGGCUGCAGAAAAAUCAUUCUGUAUGCGGGAGAGGCGUAUGCACCUUUUUGGAGUUUCAAAAGGUUCCCAUUCACCGUGGAUAUUUACUGUGGGACCAUUGGACUUACAAGGAAAACUGGACAACCCCAUGAGGACGCCAUUCCACCCAGACAUCGCACAACUGCUUUUGUUUCAACCCAGCCAUGAAAAGAAGGUUUAUUUCUAGCAAGGGUCAAGCGCUCCGUCUGGAACUAAAGUCCUGAGGUAGAUUCUGCACUGACGCCUUAGCUCUACUGACGAUUCACAAAUAACUUCCAGGCGUGACAAAUGGCAUCAUCGCAAAUGCCAGGCCGUGGCUGGCUGGAGACAUUUCUGCCGGUGCCAGCGCGUGGAAACUUUUUGGCUUCCCUGAUAAAGUU